This 28-nucleotide transfer RNA is filed under the name Lophocebus albigena (gray-cheeked mangabey). Its description in RNAcentral is "partial tRNA-Thr". The record is from RNAcentral. Lineage: Eukaryota; Metazoa; Chordata; Mammalia; Primates; Cercopithecidae.
AAUGGAACACUCCCUCCUCCCUAGGGCA